UUUAGAUCGCAACUAAGUAGCUUUAUUCAUUGGUAAUUGUUAGCGGUUAAAGCAAUAAAAAAAAUACACGUUUGUGGUAUACGCUAUUUUUUUCUCAGUGAAUUUCCCAUUUUUCAAAAUCUGUUUUUUUUUAUUAUUAUUAGUUAGUUGAAGUAAAGUGCUUUGAACGCGUGCAGUUUUUCUAUCUGCUAGUGAAAGUGUUUUACUUUUGAGUAUUUUCG
Long non-coding RNA from Condylostylus longicornis, 221 nucleotides. RefSeq lists it as uncharacterized. Lineage: Eukaryota; Metazoa; Arthropoda; Insecta; Diptera; Dolichopodidae. The record is from RefSeq and is a predicted model, not a curated record. The transcript is spliced from 2 exons.